GGUGAACGCUGGCGGUAGGCCUAACACAUGCAAGUCGAACGGCAGCACAGUAAGAGCUUGCUCUUACGGGUGGCGAGUGGCGGACGGGUGAGGAAUACAUCGGAAUCUACUUUUUCGUGGGGGAUAACGUAGGGAAACUUACGCUAAUACCGCAUACGACCUACGGGUGAAAGCAGGGGAUCUUCGCACCUUGCGCGAUUGAAUGAGCCGAUGUCGGAUUAGCUAGUUGGCGGGGUAAAGGCCCACCAAGGCGACGAUCCGUAGCUGGUCUGAGAGGAUGAUCAGCCACACUGGAACUGAGACACGGUCCAGACUCCUACGGGAGGCAGCAGUAGGGAAUAUUGGACAAUGGGCGCAAGCCUGAUCCAGCCAUACCGCGUGAGUGAAGAAGGCCUUCGGGUUGUAAAGCCCUUUUGUUAGGAAAGAAAAGCAGCAGAUUAAUACCCCGCUGUUCUGACGGUACCCAAAGAAUAAGCACCGGCUAACUUCGUG
RNAcentral lists this ribosomal RNA (492 nucleotides) under uncultured bacterium. Its description in RNAcentral is "partial 16S ribosomal RNA". It matches the Rfam family "Bacterial small subunit ribosomal RNA", at positions 28 to 507 of the family's 1533-position model. The record is from RNAcentral.